AUGAAUUUACUUAAUUUAAGAGUUCCAUUAGUUGUUUUUAUAAUUUUUACCAACUUUCAUUUAUGUAUCGGUGAAUAGUGUGAUAUUCUUACUAGGCUAGUGUAGUUCACCAUUUCAUUAACUAUUUAAGAUUAAGAGGAACAAGAUCCAGAUUUUGAUCUCCCAGACUCCCUUUAAAGGCAAGUGAAUGUCGUCCUAGGAUACCUAAUUAUUUACUUUUCAUUUAUUUCUUGAUUUUUCGCUCAUUCUUUUAGAAUGGUCAUUUUUGU
This 269-nucleotide long non-coding RNA is filed under the name Carica papaya (papaya). Its description in RNAcentral is "long non-coding RNA (CPAP_LNC002203)". Lineage: Eukaryota; Viridiplantae; Streptophyta; Magnoliopsida; Brassicales; Caricaceae. The record is from RNAcentral.